This 21-nucleotide microRNA is filed under the name Ciona intestinalis (vase tunicate). RNAcentral describes it as "Cin-Mir-10-P3_3p* (star (passenger))". The record is from RNAcentral. Lineage: Eukaryota; Metazoa; Chordata; Ascidiacea; Phlebobranchia; Cionidae.
ACGUAUUCGGCUCUCAGUACA